AGGGUGACAGGUGGUGCAUGGUUGUCGUCAGCUCGUGUCGUGAGAUGUUCGGGUUAAGUCCCGCAACGAGCGCAACCCUCGACCUUAGUUGCCAGCAUUCAGUUGGGCACUCUAAGGUGACUGCCGGCUAAAAGUCGGAGGAAGGUGGGGAUGACGUCAAAUCAUCAUGCCCCUUAUGACCUGGGCUACACACGUGCUACAAUGGGCGGUACAAAGGGUCGCGAACCCGCGAGGGGGAGCCAAUCCCAAAAAGCCGCUCUCAGUUCGGAUUGCAGGCUGCAACUCGCCUGCAUGAAGCCGGAAUCGCUAGUAAUCGCGGAUCAGCAUGCCGCGGUGAAUACGUUCCCGGGCCUU
Molecule: ribosomal RNA, 354 nt
Filed under: uncultured Anoxybacillus sp.
Lineage: Bacteria; Bacillati; Bacillota; Bacilli; Caryophanales; Anoxybacillaceae
Description: bacterial SSU rRNA
Rfam family: Bacterial small subunit ribosomal RNA
Source: RNAcentral